UACGUAGGGUGCGAGCGUUAAUCGGAAUUACUGGGCGUAAAGCGUGCGCAGGCGGCGCGUUAAGACAGGUGUGAAAGCCCCGAGCUUAACUUGGGAAUUGCGCUUGUGACUGGCGUGCUGGAGUGUGGCAGAGGGAGGUGGAAUUCCACGUGUAGCAGUGAAAUGCGUAGAGAUGUGGAGGAACACCAGUGGCGAAGGCGGCUCACUGGGCCGGACCUGACGCUGAGGCGCGAAAGCGUGGGGAGCGAUCCGG
RNAcentral lists this ribosomal RNA (253 nucleotides) under uncultured bacterium. Its description in RNAcentral is "partial 16S ribosomal RNA". It matches the Rfam family "Bacterial small subunit ribosomal RNA", at positions 524 to 776 of the family's 1533-position model. The record is from RNAcentral.